This is a long non-coding RNA of Cynara cardunculus var. scolymus (artichoke), 607 nucleotides long. RefSeq lists it as uncharacterized. The record is from RefSeq and is a predicted model, not a curated record. The transcript has 2 exons. Lineage: Eukaryota; Viridiplantae; Streptophyta; Magnoliopsida; Asterales; Asteraceae.
UUUGGGGUUUGUACGAUGACCACUGAUUUUUUAAGCAGAUCAUCAAACUUGUGGAGGGAGAUAUAGAAGAGAGAGAAUGGCGUCCGUUUCCCUCUGGUGUAGUGCACGCCCAGCUCAACCUAUCAAACUAGGGUUUCAUCAAAAUCCGAGUUGCUCAAUUGGUUCUUCCUCACUCAAUCAUUACACUUGCAGGUUCAAGAAUGCCGCCAAAUUGCUGACGGGGAGAAGGUUGUCUUUGGUACAUGCAUCAAACAAGUCUUCAGAAGAACCCGUCGAAGCAAUUUCAGGUGGCAGUACAAGCACUGCCCAAGGACCUCCUUUUCUUACUAUUUUGGCUGGUAUUGUCGUCUUUGCUCUCGUACUCUGGCUCUUUGGAUCUCUCAUUUCAUGGCUUAUUGGUCUCUUCGGCUUGAUUUUCUCUAAAUAAGUGGUUACGUUUUUGUUGUAUUUGAUUGAGACAUGAUUUCGGGUCCAUUUUUCAUUAGCAGAUGUAAUUAAACUCGCUUUGAAUUUGAUUUACUCUACUUUCUAACUUGACAUGUUAUGCAACAAAAUCAUUUGUUAACAAGAACCCUCUUGAAUGGCUUUAACGCCAUUUGGUGGAUCA